GUGCAGAUAAGACAUAGGGAUGAGCGUCAUGUACACAUAACAAAUAAGUUUCAAGAGAGAACAAAAUGAUUAGAGCAGAGACAUCUUAGGUGGGUGCUCUCUGCUCCCGGAACUUAGACAUAUAUGGUCUUAAGUGUUGUUUAAGCAUCAAGCAUUUCCUGAGUCCAAGUUAGGCAAUUUUAAUAUAGGAUAUCAUUAUAUGACACCUAUAAGCUUGAG
This 219-nucleotide long non-coding RNA is filed under the name Pelobates cultripes (western spadefoot toad). The record is from RNAcentral. Lineage: Eukaryota; Metazoa; Chordata; Amphibia; Anura; Pelobatidae.